This is a non-coding RNA of Malassezia sp. CBS 17886, 100 nucleotides long. The record is from the annotation of a GenBank genome assembly. NCBI's taxonomy places the organism in Eukaryota, Fungi, Basidiomycota, Malasseziomycetes, Malasseziales, Malasseziaceae.
GCCCGCUUAGCUCAGUGGUAGAGCGCGUCACUAGUACCUCCCGCGUUUGUGGACGCCAUCCGGCAUGACGAGGUCGGUUGUUCGAUCCAGCCAGCGGGCA